RNAcentral lists this ribosomal RNA (617 nucleotides) under Curvularia sp. RSL01. RNAcentral describes it as "eukaryotic LSU rRNA". The stretch from base 233 to 386 matches the Rfam family "5.8S ribosomal RNA". Lineage: Eukaryota; Fungi; Ascomycota; Dothideomycetes; Pleosporales; Pleosporaceae. The record is from RNAcentral.
GAAGGUGAAAGUCGUAACAAGGUCUCCGUAGGUGUACCUGCGGAGGGAUCAUUACACAAUAAACAUAUGAAGGCUGCACCGCCAACAGGCGGCAAGGCUGGAGUAUUUUAUUACCCUUGUCUUUUGCGCACUUGUUGUUUCCUGGGCGGGUUCGCCCGCCUCCAGGACCACAUGAUAAACCUUUUUUAUGCAGUUGCAAUCAGCGUCAGUACAACAAAUGUAAAUCAUUUACAACUUUCAACAACGGAUCUCUUGGUUCUGGCAUCGAUGAAGAACGCAGCGAAAUGCGAUACGUAGUGUGAAUUGCAGAAUUCAGUGAAUCAUCGAAUCUUUGAACGCACAUUGCGCCCUUUGGUAUUCCAAAGGGCAUGCCUGUUCGAGCGUCAUUUGUACCCUCAAGCUUUGCUUGGUGUUGGGCGUUUUUUGUCUUUGGUUUUGUCCAAAGACUCGCCUUAAAACGAUUGGCAGCCGGCCUACUGGUUUCGCAGCGCAGCACAUUUUUGCGCUUGCAAUCAGCAAAAGAGGACGGCACUCCAUCAAGACUCUAUAUCACUUUUGACCUCGGAUCAGGUAGGUAUACCCGCUGAACUUAAGCAUAUCAAUAAGGCGGAGGAUCC